UUCAACCCUCAAGCUCUGCUUGGUAUUGGGCCCUGCCGCGCUGGGCAGGCCUUAAAAUCAGUGGCGGUGCCGUCGCGGCUCCAGGCGUAGUACAUCUCUCGCUCCGGAGGCCCGGUGGUGUCUUGCCAGACAACCCCCAAAUUGUCUUCUAU
Molecule: unclassified non-coding RNA, 152 nt
Filed under: uncultured Scytalidium
Lineage: Eukaryota; Fungi; Ascomycota
Description: sequence contains ITS2
Source: RNAcentral